UACGUAGGGGGCAAGCGUUGUCCGGAUUUAUUGGGCGUAAAGAGCGUGUAGGCGGCCAAGCAGGUCCGCUGUGAAAACUCGAGGCUCAACCUCGAGACGUCGGUGGAAACCGUUUGGCUAGAGUCCGGAAGAGGAGAGUGGAAUUCCCGGUGUAGCGGUGAAAUGCGCAGAUAUCGGGAAGAACACCGGUGGCGAAGGCGGCUCACUGGUCCGGUACUGACGCUGAGGUGCGAAAGCGUGGGGAGCAAACAGG
RNAcentral lists this ribosomal RNA (253 nucleotides) under uncultured bacterium. RNAcentral's name for it is "partial 16S ribosomal RNA". It matches the Rfam family "Bacterial small subunit ribosomal RNA", at positions 524 to 776 of the family's 1533-position model. The record is from RNAcentral.